AGAGUUUGAUCAUGGCUCAGGAUGAACGCUGGCGACGUGGUAUAAGGCAUGCAAGUCAAACGGUCUUUAUUUCUUGCUUGCAAGAGAUAAAGGCAGUGGCGAACUGGUUAGUAACACGUAGAUAACCAACCCCCUACACGGGGAUAACCUGGAGAAAUCCAGGCUAAUACCCGAUGGUCUGAAAUUUGAUCUUAGAUUAUUUAACAAAGUAAUUUGAGAUCAGAUUUCAGUAAAGGUUUAUUCCGGUAGAGGAUGGGUCUGCGCCCUAUCAGCUAGUUGGUGAGGUAAUAGCUCACCAAGGCUAUGACGGGUAGGCGGAGUGAGAGCUUGACCGCCAACAAUGGCACUGAGAUACUGGCCAUACUCCUACGGGAGGCUGCAGUCGAGAAUAUUGGUCAAUGGGCGAAAGCCUGAACCAGCGACGUCGCGUGUAGGAAUAAGAUCUUCGGAUUGUAAACUACUUUUAUAAGGGAAGAAUUUUUUAAUGACGGUACCUUAUGAAUAAGGGGUGACAAAACUCGUGCCAGCAGUAGCGGUAAUACGAGUGCCCCGAGCGUUAUCUGGAUUAAUUGGGCGUAAAGGGUCCGUAGGCGGUCUGUUAAGUUUUCCGUUAAAUCUCCAGGGCUUAACCUUGGAGCUGCGGAAAAAACUGGCAGACUAGAGGAUGUUAGAGGCUAGCGGAAUGUCUGGUGGAGGGGUGAAAUCCGUUGAUAUCAGACAGAACACCAAAAGCGAAGGCAGCUAGCUGGGGCAAUCCUGACGCUGAGGGACGAAAGCGUGGGGAUAAAAAAGGAUUAGAUACCCCUGUAUUCCACGCCCUAAACGAUGAGCACUAGCUAUUGCAAGUGUCGACCCUUGCAGUGGCUAAGCUAACGCGUUAAGUGCUCCGCCUGGGAAGUACGGCCGCAAGGCUAAAACUCAAAGGAAUUGACGG
This 934-nucleotide ribosomal RNA is filed under the name uncultured bacterium. RNAcentral describes it as "bacterial SSU rRNA". It matches the Rfam family "Bacterial small subunit ribosomal RNA", at positions 8 to 916 of the family's 1533-position model. The record is from RNAcentral.